GAAAUGCGAUAAGUAGUGUGAAUUGCAGAAUUCAGUGAAUCAUCGAAUCUUUGAACGCACAUUGCGCCCUUUGGUAUUCCUUAGGGCAUGCCUGUUCGAGCGUCAUCUAAACCUUCAAGCCCUGCUUGGUGUUGGGUGCCUGUCCCGCCUCCGCGCGCGGACUCACCUCAAAUCCAUUGGCGGCCCCCGCGUCGGCCACGAGCGCAGCAGAAACGCGAACUCGUGAGCCCGUCCGGGCGGCUCCCAGAAGCUACACCCACCCAGUUUGACCUCGGAUCAGGUAGAGAUACGCGCUGAACUUAAGC
Molecule: unclassified non-coding RNA, 305 nt
Filed under: plant metagenome
Description: partial contains 5.8S ribosomal RNA, internal transcribed spacer 2, and large subunit ribosomal RNA
Rfam family: 5.8S ribosomal RNA (bases 1-105)
Source: RNAcentral